GACGUAGGGGGCCAGCGUUGCUCGGAAUUACUGGGCGUAAAGGGUUCGUAGGCGGUGAGGCAAGUCGGGUGUGAAAUCUCUGGGCUUAACUCAGAGGCUGCUUCCGAAACUGCCGUGCUAGAGUGCGGGAGAGGCGAGUGGAAUUGCUGGUUGAGCGGUGAAAUGCGUAGAUAUCAGGAGGAACACCGGUGGCGAAGGCGGUUCUCUGGGCAGUACCUGACGCUGAGGAGCGAAAGUGUGGGGAGCGAACAGG
RNAcentral lists this ribosomal RNA (253 nucleotides) under uncultured bacterium. Its description in RNAcentral is "partial 16S ribosomal RNA". It matches the Rfam family "Bacterial small subunit ribosomal RNA", at positions 524 to 776 of the family's 1533-position model. The record is from RNAcentral.